Molecule: long non-coding RNA, 1539 nt
Organism: Astatotilapia calliptera (eastern happy)
Lineage: Eukaryota; Metazoa; Chordata; Actinopteri; Cichliformes; Cichlidae
Source: Ensembl
CCCACACAUGACCCUGGGAGGAAAAACAGACCGGAGCCAAUGAAACCAGGAGCCAACACGUGUCUGAAGCUUUCGCUUUACAACGCAUGGUUUUCAGCAAGACAACACGUUACUUUUCUUUGAUUUCGCAUGAGCAUGUCACCAAACUCACUCACUGUUGGAAAACAACACCGAAGGACACGCAUGGACGUGAGCUGGAAACUUCUUUAAUCUUUGGCAAAUGAAAGGCGUCUGUGACCAAAGACGGCACAAACAGCGAGGGAAAAGACUUCACUCUCUCAGACACUCGCCUUGUAUGGCUUUAUUUUUUCCUCCUGCACUCACGGUAUUGGGGUGCACCAUGUGGUUCUUUUAUAAAACAAAACAAAGGAGAUAUAAUAGUACCUGGGUGUUUUUGUUGUACAUAAAUGACACUGUAUAAAAUCUUUAAAAAAAAAAAAGAAUUGGUAGCUUCACAGAUUGUUUAUGCACUGAUUUGAGUUGAUGAAGCUUUGCAGAGCCAGUGCAUUUGUAUUGAGAGGUCGACACUUUUCGUGCAGCCUGGAGUGUGUCUUCUGACGUGCUCUUCCCAAAUAUAAAAAGGAACAAAAAAAGCUGUAUGUGAAUGAAACGAAUGGAGAAAAAAAAAUGAUGCUUGAUUUUCAACAGAGGACAUUUUCUUUAAAGACAACAGCUACUCUGCUCUGUCCGAGGGACAUUCUUCAGAGAAAUGAUAUUUUGCUGCAUGUUAUGUCACUUUAUUUUUAACGCUUUCCUUUCUUUCUCUUAAUUCAAAGCACUGUAAUACAACUUAGAGAGGGUGUGAUGGUACUUCUGUCUGUGUGAGCACUCAUAGUAACCCAAACAUCUGUCAUCUAUAACUGUUUUGUUUUUUAUUUAAUUUCCUUUUCUUUUCUUUUUUUUUUACAAAUGAAAUGACACUCCACAUCCUAGUGGCGAGAUAGUACAGCAUCCUUCUUAUGCAACAGGAAAGUACUGACACUGUCCAAUGCAUCUUUCAGACUAGCACAUUGUUAGCUCUAGACCGCUAGCAACGCUGUGUGUGUGUGCGUUUGUCUGUGUGUGCGCGUGUGUGUGUUUAACAUUAAGAAAAAAAAUCCAUGCAUACUAGAAGUGUAUAUUUAAACCUUUAGUUCUACUGUGGUUUUUAAAAGGGGACUUUUACGUUGAUGAUUUUUAUCCUGUUUAUUUGCUUCUAUUUACAUGAGAACAGAGAAUCUCAUUUUUAGCCCCAUCACUCAAAUCGAAAUCUUUGUAAUCACAUACAAAUCACUGUCAGUUAUUAAAAAUGUGACUUUCUGUUCAUGUGUAAAUUGAAUUUCUGUUUGUUUUUUUUUUCAUAUGAAUCCACCCUAAGCAUCCAUUGUUGAUAAUAAAUCUGGUACCGACAUGUAUGACAAACCAACAUAGCCUACACUGGAUGAUCCAAGUAAUUAUUUAAGCAGAAAAAUAAAUUGUGUUUAAACUGAACCUCUGCUAGUCAGUCUGAUUUCUCUUUCUGGUUGCACAGGCCCAAUGAAAUACUGGCAUGAAUCAUAC